CACUUAACUGCUACCGCUUCCAAACUCUGUCUUUGUGAGAGAAUUCUGUGUUUGGAGUGCAAAUAGAAACCGCUUCCCUUUCCUUACCUUUCUUACUUUCUUGCUGUUGUGAACAUGGCUGCUGAACUUGUUGGAGGAGCUUUUCUCUCUUCAUUUCUCAAUGUUCUUUUUGACAGGCUGUCUGAUCCUGAGAUCAUCAACAUGAUGCGAGGAAAGAAGGUUGACCAGAAGCUGCUUCAAAGGCUGGAGAACAUUCUGAAUGUGGUUGAAGCUGUGCUGAAUGAUGCUGAGAAGAAACAGAUCACUGACCCUGCUGUCAAGAGGUGGCUCGAAGAUCUCCAAGAUGCUGUCUAUGAUGCUGAUGACUUGUUGGAUGAAGUCGCUACCAAAGCUGCCACUCAGAAGGAUCCACCAGGUAACUUCCUGUCUCGCUUUCUCAGUUUGCAAGAUAGGGAGAUGGUUACUAGGAUUGAAGAAAUCAUUGCUAGACUAGAAGAUAUUGCAAAACACAAAGAUAUCCUUCGUCUAGAAAAGAUUGCAGUCAAGAACAUGUCAGGGAGAAUUGAAUCAACAUCUCUUGUUCAAAAGUCUGAUUUAUUUGUUGGUAGGGACCAAGACAGGGAGGAUAUAGUCAAAUUGUUGUUAGAUGAUACUAAUGAUGGUGAACUAUCUGUCAUCCCCAUCUGGGGUAUGGGUGGGAUCGGAAAAACUACUUUGGCUAAGUUGGUUUUUAAUGACGAUAGAGUGCAGCGAAAAUUUAAUAUCAAUGCAUGGGUUUGUGUUGGGGAAGAAUUUGAUGUUCUUAAAGUGACAAAGACUGUAAUAGAGGAAAUAACUUCUAGUCCCUGUGAUAUGAAUAGCUUAAACUCAGCUCAACAACAUUUAAGGAGUAAGCUAACAGGGAUGAAAUUCUUGGUUGUUUUGGAUGACUUGUGGAGUAACAAUUACACAGCUUGGGCAAAUUUUUUGAUUCCUUUUAGAUGUGGAAGUGAGGGGAGUAAGAUCCUUGUGACAACUCGUAGCGAAAAGAUUGCAAACAUGGUGAAAGGUUUUCAUUAUCAAGCCUACAAUUUGAGUGCGUUGAAUGAUGAAGAUUGUUGGGUAGUGUUUGCAAAUCAUGCAUUUCUUUCUGGAGAGCGUCUAGCUUUUGAAAAAGUUGCCAGAGAAAUUGUUAAAAAGUGCAAGGGAUUACCUCUAGCUGCUCAAGCACUUGGGAGCUUAUUAAGGUCCAAAGAUAAUGAAAAGGAUUGGAAUAAUGUUUUGAACAGUGAAAUUUGGGAAUUUUCUGAAGAGGAAAUUGAAAUUAUUCCUGCGCUGAGGAUUAGUUAUUACCACCUUCCUUCGCACUUAAAACGUUGUUUUGUUUAUUGUUCUUUGUAUCCCAAAGACUAUGAAUUUGAUAGAGAUGAAUUGGUGUUAUUGUGGAUGGCCGAGGGUCUUUUGCAACGGCCGAGGGGGAGAAGCACUUUAGAAGAAGUUGGCUAUGAAUAUUUUAGUGAUUUAGCAUCAAGAUCAUUUUUUCAACCUUCUAAUAAUGCUUAUAAUACUGCAUUUGUAAUGCACGAUCUCAUGCAUGAUUUAGCAACGUUCUAUGGUGGAAAGUUCUUUUCUAGAACCUUUGAAGUCAAGAAUGCAGCAAAGCAUGAUGUCAAAACUCGCCACUUGUCAUGUGCUCGCAAGAAUGAUGAUGAUUCGUUUAUGAAGAUCAUGGAAGCAUGCAAAAGGUUAAAACAUGUGAGGACAUUGUUGCAACUCAAUUUUCGUAAGGAUGGUGGAAUCCCAGAGGGAGAUAGUGUAGCCGUUCCUUCUGACUUACUAGAACAAUUGAAGUGCUUACGAGUUUUGUCAUUUAAAUUUUUUCCAGAUGAUGAAAACUUGUUGCAUCAUUCGAUUGGGGAAUUGAUCCAUUUGCGUUAUUUGGAUCUUUCAGACACAUCCAUCGUGACUUUGCCUGAGUCGUUAAGUUGCUUGUACAAUUUACAAACCUUGAAGUUGACAUACUGUAAAAAGCUUAAAAAGCUUCCUAGCAAGAUGCAAAAUCUUGUGAAUUUGCGUCAUCUUGAUGUUUCUGAAACUGGUUUGGAAGAGAUGCCAAAAAAGAUGAGCGAAUUAAAAGAUUUGCAAUUUUUAAGUUCUUACAUCGUGGGCAAGCAUGAAGAGAAUGGAGUUGGGGAAUUGGGAGAACUAGCACAUCUUCAUGGGUCAUUGUGGAUUGAGAAAUUGGAGAAUGUUAAGAAUAGUGGUGAAGCAUCGAAUGCAAGGAUGGAUGAAAAAAUACACCUGAAUACUUUAUAUUUGUGGUGGUCAACGUUUGAAGAAAGUGAGGUUUGUGAUUCCCAAAGUGAAAAAGAUGUACUUGACAAAUUACGUCCUCACAAAGACUUGAAGAAGCUAUCCAUCAGUUAUUACAGAGGUACGAUGUUUCCGGAUUGGGUAGGGCAGUCUUCGUACCACAACAUGACUUGGUUGGAGCUGAGGGGAUGCAGGAAUUGUUGGGUGCUUCCUUCACUUGGACAGUUACCCUCUCUGAAGAGGCUGCUCAUUUCAGGGCUCGACAAGCUGAAGAAGAUUGGUGGGUCAUUCUAUAAGGGUGAUGGAACUCAUCAGCAUCAGGAGACACCCUUCCGAUCCCUUAAAUUUUUCAUUAUUCAAAGAAUGCCUUGGUGGGAGGAAUGGGAGUCAUAUGAAUGUGAUGAUGAUAAGGAUGCACCAUUUCCUCAACUUGACGAACUUCAUAUAUUGCAGUGUCCUAAGUUAAGAGGAGAUUUGCCCACUUUCCUUCCGUCUUUGAAAUCACUAUUCAUUUAUGAAUGCAAGGAGCUUGGUUGUUAUCUGCCAAGAGCUCCCAUCCUACGCAAAUUAAUAAUAAGGGACAAACAGGAAGCAAGAAUGCGGGAGCUACCACUUUCCAUGUUGGAGACACUAGUAAUUAAUGGAGAGCAGCUUGUGGAUUCUCUGUUUGAGGCCAUGACCCACACCCAACCAACCUCUCUCAUAGAGCUAGACAUCUCAGAGUGCUCAUCAGCCAUAUCAUUUCCAGAGGAUUCUUUGCCCCCUUCAUUGGAAUAUCUAGGCAUCUUCAAUUGCAAGAAUGUAGAAUUCCCAAUGCACCACCAACAACAUCACUCGCUACAGAGAUUAGAAUUUGUCAACAGCUGUGAUUCGCUUACAUCCUUCGCAUUGCCAGCGUUCCCAAAUCUCAAGUAUCUCAGAAUCGCAAGACGUGAAAAGUUGACAUCGCUGGAGGUGUCACAGUCCCUCCGAGAAUUAUCAAUUUCAGACUGCCCUAAGCUGGAGAACAUAAUAAGGCUGCCUGCCUGUUUAUGGGAACUCAAAAUCAGAGAAUGUGGGUUGUUGGGUGAAGGCAUAGAGAGGAAGGACCCCCACAUUUGGCCAUCCAUUUCCCACAUCCCCGUAAUAUUUGUUGAUGAGAAACUGAUUCAAUAUCACCCAACAUCUUAAAACAGGACAUUUAACUAUUCUUCUGGGACUUAUCAAUUUAAUGCAGUUUGGUUGUGCACCUCCAUUCUUCUACUUUUGCACCAUGCCUUGUCUUGCACCCAAAUGUAAGGCCUUUCGUUACCUUUCUUGGUGUUGCUCCUGCUUGCUUGCCUGUGCCCUUUGUUGGAUUUGCAACAAACAAAUUGAAGCGAAGUUGGAGUAAGCUCAAUUUGGAGAGCAGGGGAACCUGGUCAAGAAUGAUUUCAUGAGGUGUGGUCUCUGCAUCAAUAAGAAAGCUGAAUUCAUGGAAAACACCAUCCUCAUAGAAAAUCAAAAGAAGAAGUAGAUGAUGUAGAACAGAAUUUCGCUAAGACCGAUAGAUCAAUCAAAAUGCAACAAGAGCACCUUCAAUGAUAAGGAUACAGUUGGAGCAGCCUGUCAAAAAUAGGCAUAAAGUGUACAUACUUUGCAAUGUUCAAAGAAAAAAGGAAGGAAAAACUUAAUUAUAUAUUUUGACUGACAUUGUCCAAUUAUCUUUUUCUCUUUAAGAGUUUUCAUGUCUUCAUCAUUUCAUUCUAUUUUAGGAUAGCUGAUAUGAAUUAUUCUAUUUAUAAGAAAGAGAGAGCUUAAAAAGUGAGUAUCAAUUUCUGUCAUGAGAAAGGCAAGAGAGCUAGGAUGUGAGAAUAUGUAGAAAAAGCUAUAAGUGGUGUUUGAGAAAUUUGUUUUUGUAUUUGGCUUGAAUUGAUAUUUGUAACUUGAAUUUGUUUAUAGUGGAAAAUUCUACCAUUUUUUGUGGUG
Molecule: RNA transcript, 4239 nt
Organism: Arachis duranensis
Lineage: Eukaryota; Viridiplantae; Streptophyta; Magnoliopsida; Fabales; Fabaceae
Gene name: putative disease resistance RPP13-like protein 1
Exons: 4
Source: RefSeq, a predicted model, not a curated record